UAGACGCGAAAAGUGUCAUGACAUGCCGCCUUUGUGAAUGACCAAUUUUUGAACGCACCUUGCACCUAUCCAUGGGAUGGGUGUGCUUGUGUGAGUGUGGGACGGAGCUUGCGCAUAUAUGGAUUGCCAGAGAUGAGGCGUGCGAACGAAAAUAGCUGCCUUGAAAGACAUGGCGAGCACGAGAUGAGCGCCCUGGGAUACAUCUACAGGCUGCGAGUCACGUGUUCGGUAACGAGAGGGUGUGUGAGAGAUCUUAAAAGGGAGAGAUAACAUGCUUCCCUUUCACCGUCUCACUCACACCCCCCUACACUAAAACCCACCUCACAUCAAGCAAGACCACCCGCUGAACUUAA
RNAcentral lists this unclassified non-coding RNA (353 nucleotides) under uncultured fungus. Its description in RNAcentral is "sequence contains ITS1". The stretch from base 1 to 100 matches the Rfam family "5.8S ribosomal RNA", at positions 50 to 154 of the family's 154-position model. Lineage: Eukaryota; Fungi. The record is from RNAcentral.